This 114-nucleotide ribosomal RNA is filed under the name Mesocricetus auratus (golden hamster). Lineage: Eukaryota; Metazoa; Chordata; Mammalia; Rodentia; Cricetidae. The record is from RNAcentral.
CCAUACCACACUGAACGCGCCUGAUCUCCUCUGAUCUUGGAAACUAAGCCGGGUCAGGCCUGGUUAGUACUAGAAUGUGAGUUUAACUAGAGUGAACUAUAAUCCAAAUAUGGA